CAGUAACAUUUUCAUCAAAAUGGCAAACAACCUACUGAUAAACUGCGGCAAUUUCCUCAUCAUUCCAGGAGCCCUUUCCCUAGCCUCAGCCAAGGUAAUAACAAAUUCAAUAGCCAAAUGUCUGGUCCCCUCUUCUAAACUCUCGGCCUCAGCUAUUUGCAACAUUGCACCCACCACAUCAACAAGCUGCCUCCUCAAAAACCUAGGCUCAGUACCCGCCAAUNGACACACCUGUACUCGUGGAUUUUGGAAAUCAUCCAUAGCUGUUGCCAAUGCUGGCAGUACUCUGCUGUGGUACUGUACUUGCAAAUCAGGCCCCAAGUCAGUAGACAACUGGCCAAUUGCAUUAAUAGCUGCCCAUCUCACUCGAGGAUGAGGAUCUUGGAAACAGCUCAAAACCAUGUUCACAACUUGCUCCAAAAUCUUAAUCAUUACCUAUUACACUCAAAAAAAAAAAAAGGAAAACCCACAGAAUUAAAAUCAAUAAACAAAGCAAACAAAUUGACAAACAGACAGAAUCUGGAAGAUGGCUGAGUAAAGUGUCUUCAACUCAUAAACAAAUACUUUCAUGAUUGGCACCAAUGAGCAGUUCACAAGCCAACACUAGUCUAAUAACCCAGUUAAGAUAGUUGACUGUCGUAAAAUUUAACCAAAACGGCCAAUGAGCAGAAAUAAUAAAUAUGAUAAGUAACCAGUCACCAGUGACAACAGAGACAAGUAAUAAAUGAACCAGCAAUAAGCACCAAAUCUUUGCUACAAUGUUCAAUAUAGAUAAGUCUAGAGUCAUCACAACUCUCUUCCAAUAUAUACUCCCCUCCAUCCUAAUCUAUGCAACAUCUACCCAUUAUAGAACAUUCCAAAAUGUUUAACACAAUUCCAUUUCUAUAAAGUUUUACGAUUUCAGCAAUACAUAUAUUAAUUAUACUAUUCAAAAUUUAAAUUAGACACUAUCAGACUAAUAUUUGCUUUAACUAGUUCUUAACUCUCCCACUAUAAGAUAUAUAACACAAAGAAUAAAGAUCAUUUGUAUUCCCAGGUGGGGAGUUUGAUUCCCUAUCAGCCUAUUUGCAGAAUUCAGUAAAAAACUUUUUAAAAAAAACAUCUAUAUUUACAUAACAAACUAAAUUCUCACAUAACCUAGAAUCAAGACGCACAAAGGCAAAAAUUGAAAUUUCAUUAGUACCUUUGUGCAACCUUCAGCAAUCUGAGCAAGUGCAAUGAGCGCGGCAUGGUGCUUUUGCCAUUCAGGAGCAGCCAAGUAAGGAGGCAACUGCUCUGACGCCACAGGAACAAUUGUACUACCGCCCAAUGCAAUGGACAAACGAUCCAAACACUCCUGACCAACACUGUAGUUACUAGUUUCCCCUGCAUCCUCGUGCUCAACUUCAGCACUAUGCCAUACAGGUUCAUCAUCAAUGUCCAGUAACAUUUUCAUCAAAAUGGCAAACAACCUACUGAUAAACUGCGGCAAUUUCCUCAUCAUUCCAGGAGCCCUUUCCCUAGCCUCAGCCAAGGUAAUAACAAAUUCAAUAGCCAAAUGUCUGGUCCCCUCUUCUAAACUCUCGGCCUCAGCUAUUUGCAACAUUGCACCCACCACAUCAACAAGCUGCCUCCUCAAAAACCUAGGCUCAGUACCCGCCAAUUCAAUCAAC
Molecule: long non-coding RNA, 1652 nt
Filed under: Solanum pimpinellifolium
Lineage: Eukaryota; Viridiplantae; Streptophyta; Magnoliopsida; Solanales; Solanaceae
Description: long non-coding RNA (SPIM_LNC000038)
Source: RNAcentral